GCCAAUGGGUCGAUUAGCCAUGCUAGUUGCACGAGUUCAUACUCGUGGCGAAAAGCUCAGAAACACGUGGCCAAACUACCCUACAGAGAACGAUAACCUCGGGAAACUGAGGCUAAUAGUUCAUACGGGAGUCAUGCUGGAAUGCCGACUCCCCGAAACGCUCAGGCGCUGUAGGAUGUGGCUGCGGCCGAUUAGGUAGACGGUGGGGUAACGGCCCACCGUGCCGAUAAUCGGUACGGGUUGUGAGAGCAAGAGCCCGGAGACGGAAUCUGAGACAAGAUUCCGGGCCCUACGGGGCGCAGCAGGCGCGAAACCUUUACACUGCACGCAAGUGCGAUAAGGGGACCCCAAGUGCGAGGGCAUAUAGUCCUCGCUUUUCUCGACUGUAAGGCGGUCGAGGAAUAAGAGCUGGGCAAGACCGGUGCCAGCCGCCGCGGUAAUACCGGCAGCUCAAGUGAUGACCGAUAUUAUUGGGCCUAAAGCGUCCGUAGCCGGCCACGAAGGUUCAUCGGGAAAUCCGCCAGCUCAACUGGCGGGCGUCCGGUGAAAACCACGUGGCUUGGGACCGGAAGGCUCGAGGGGUACGUCCGGGGUAGGAGUGAAAUCCCGUAAUCCUGGACGGACCACCGAUGGCGAAAGCACCUCGAGAAGACGGAUCCGACGGUGAGGGACGAAAGCUAGGGUCUCGAACCGGAUUAGAUACCCGGGUAGUCCUAGCUGUAAACGAUGCUCGCUAGGUGUGACACAGGCUACGAGCCUGUGUUGUGCCGUAGGGAAGCCGAGAAGCGAGCCGCCUGGGAAGUACGUCCGCAAGGAUGAAACUUAAAGGAAUUGGCGGGGAGCACUACAACCGGAGAGCCUGCGUUUAAUUGGACUCACGCGGACAUCUCACAGCUC
Molecule: ribosomal RNA, 897 nt
Filed under: Haloferax sp. BO6
Lineage: Archaea; Methanobacteriati; Methanobacteriota; Halobacteria; Halobacteriales; Haloferacaceae
Description: bacterial SSU rRNA
Rfam family: Archaeal small subunit ribosomal RNA
Source: RNAcentral